This 441-nucleotide ribosomal RNA is filed under the name uncultured bacterium. RNAcentral describes it as "partial 16S ribosomal RNA". It matches the Rfam family "Bacterial small subunit ribosomal RNA", at positions 339 to 795 of the family's 1533-position model. The record is from RNAcentral.
CUACGGGGGGCAGCAGUGGGGAAUAUUGGGCAAUGGGCGCAAGCCUGACCCAGCAACGCCGCGUGAGGGAAGAAGGUUUUCGGAUUGUAAACCUCUGUCCUUGGGGACGAAGAAGUGACGGUACCCAAGGAGGAAGCUCCGGCUAACUACGUGCCAGCAGCCGCGGUAAUACGUAGGGAGCAAGCGUUGUCCGGAAUUACUGGGCGUAAAGGGUGCGUAGGCGGCAUAUUAAGUCAGGUGUGAAAUACUCGGGCUCAACCCGGGGGCUGCAUUUGAAACUGAUAUGCUUGAGUGUGAGAGAGGAAAGUGGAAUUCCUAGUGUAGCGGUGGAAUGCGUAGAUAUUAGGAGGAACACCAGUGGCGAAGGCGACUUUCUGGCUCAUAACUGACGCUGAGGCACGAAAGCGUGGGGAGCAAACAGGAUUAGAUACCCCCGUAGUC